UACGGGGGGGGCAAGCGUUGUUCGGAAUUACUGGGCGUAAAGGGCUCGUAGGCGGCCAACUAAGUCAGACGUGAAAUCCCUCGGCUUAACCGGGGAACUGCGUCUGAUACUGGAUGGCUUGAGUUUGGGAGAGGGAUGCGGAAUUCCAGGUGUAGCGGUGAAAUGCGUAGAUAUCUGGAGGAACACCGGUGGCGAAGGCGGCAUCCUGGACCGACACUGACGCUGAGGAGCGAAAGCGUGGGGAGCGAACAGG
RNAcentral lists this ribosomal RNA (253 nucleotides) under uncultured bacterium. RNAcentral's name for it is "partial 16S ribosomal RNA". It matches the Rfam family "Bacterial small subunit ribosomal RNA", at positions 524 to 776 of the family's 1533-position model. The record is from RNAcentral.